RNAcentral lists this ribosomal RNA (355 nucleotides) under Candidatus Peribacteria bacterium RIFCSPLOWO2_01_FULL_54_110. RNAcentral's name for it is "bacterial SSU rRNA". It matches the Rfam family "Bacterial small subunit ribosomal RNA", at positions 1 to 352 of the family's 1533-position model. The record is from RNAcentral. Lineage: Bacteria; Candidatus Peregrinibacteriota; Candidatus Peribacteria.
UUUUUUGAAGAGUUUGAUCCUGGCUCAGAGUGAACGCUGGCGGUGUGCCUAAAACAUGCAAGUCGAGCGAUCAGCGGUAGCAAUAUUGCUGGGAGCGGCGAACGGCUGCGUAACACGUGGGAACCUACCCCGGACUCAGGGAUAACCCCGCGAAAGCGGGGCUAAUACCGGAUGGCUCCAGCAUCCUUGGCAACAAGGGGCGCUGGAUAAAGAUUUUUCGGUCCGGGAGGGGCCUGCGGCCCAUCAGCUUGUUGGUAGGGUAACGGCCUACCAAGGCUAUGACGGGUAGCUGGUCUGAGAGGACGACCAGCCAGAAUGGAACUGCGACACGGUCCAUACUCCUACGGGAGGCAGC